This is a long non-coding RNA of Poecilia latipinna (sailfin molly), 1181 nucleotides long. RefSeq lists it as uncharacterized. The record is from RefSeq and is a predicted model, not a curated record. The transcript is spliced from 2 exons. Lineage: Eukaryota; Metazoa; Chordata; Actinopteri; Cyprinodontiformes; Poeciliidae.
CAGUUUGACUAAAGUAAGGUUUGAGUCCUUGUCAGAUACCAGCUUGACUAAAGAAGUUAUAAGGGUCCCAGUUGACAGAGUUUCAACUAAAGGCAAAAGGAAAGGCUCUUAGAGAGCCUCCUUACUUAGAGGACACCUCUUAAGGGUAAGUCCUCACGUAGAUAGGAAGCUUAUUAUUACUGUUCUGUUAUUACUGUGCUGAUAUUGCUGUUUGCUUGCUGCUUUGAUGUGUGUGUGUGUAUGAAGGAGUGAAUGGUGUCUCUCCCUCUGGGAGUAAAACUCUCUGCCUUCGGAAUUAGAAUCCUGAGUGAAGAACCGCUUGGAAGCUCGGCUCCAAGUAGAAGCCUGUUCUUCAGGAGGCACUGAGCGUUGACCUACGGCACUUUCUCUGAGAGAGCACAUAAUACCAAAAUUUUCAAGCUAAAAUUGCAAGUGAUUUAAAUAAUGGGAAACACAAAUUCUUGUAAUUCUUCACUCGCUGAAGGCCCCGAUAGGGAUGAAAAGUACAUGCUGUCCAGAUUUCCUGGUAGCACUGUACACAUGAAAAAAUGGAGAAAGAAAUAUAAAAUAGAUGGAAAGCUAAAAAUUGAUCAAUGGCAAACAAUUGUGGGAAUUUUGGAGAGUAGUGUAGAAAGAAAAACGGGAAUAAUAAAGGCUAAAAAGGAGGAUGAGCUGAGAUGUGCUAAAUUAUGGUUAAAAGCAGCCAUAGACCGGAAAGAACAAAUUAAAAAGGCUGUAGAAGGAAUAACACCUGUAACAGAAGACCCCGAUAAGUGGAUAGAAGACAUGACUGGAUUAAUCCAUUCAUAUAGAUUAAAUGGGGUAGAAGCAGGCGAAGCAGCCAUACCCUCAUUAGGAAAGGAUUGGGUAGAAGUAAGAGGAAAUUAUACAGGGAAAAUAACUAAUAAUAUUUUAGCUCCAAUUCCACACCCUCCAGGAGUUAACCUCUCUCUCUCUCUGAUCAUUUAAAAAAAAAAAAAAAAAAAAUGGGAUCCGUUGUGUGAGAGAGUUAGAACAAAUUUUCGUAAAAAGGCAAAUUAUAGUCAUCUGUCAGGGAUUAAACAAAAAGUUGGAGAAGACGUGGACGAUUUUCGUCUGCGGUUUGAGAAGGAGUUCAAAGUUCACAGUGGGAUCACUUAUGAUGAAGGACUAGAAAGCGUAUAUCAACAACAACUAAAAAA